UCAUAAUCCACAACAUCAUCAACCAUUUUGCGCCAAAAAUGAAGCCGUUCACAUACCAUGGCAUCCUAAGCAGGCAGCACUACACUACUGUGCAACAGUGAGAGAGAGCGGGCAAGGACAAGUAAAGCGGACCUACACUACAGCAAGACUUUGACACUUCUCCACGUUAGAGGCAACCAUCACCCCCACCGUUGAGCAGCGGCUAUGUGUAACCCCCAAAAGAGGAGAUGAUCCGACGAUGUGUGUGUGGUGUGUGCGUGUGUGUGUGUGAUGUAUGAUAUUGUAACACUUCAGUCCUUCUUUUAUACUAUACAGUGUAUACAUAUACAUUUGUGGGUUUGUUUAAAAACCAUAGCUGAGGUUAAGAAAUGCAUUAUGACAAAUACAUCUGAUUCAGGUGUACUGUCUUUUAUUUGCCACAAAUAAAUCACAUCCUGGAAACCUGUACGAUGUGUGGAUUUAAAGAUCUGCCAGAUCUUUGUGACGGCACAGGAUUGCAGUGGAACCCAAACAUAGCCUACGAACUCCCACGCCAUCUCACCAACUGCCGAUAUGCAGUAUGCCUGAUUUUUCCUGUACAGCAAAGAAAUGUAGAGAUUGUGCCUUCAUCAAGAAUAGGUCAUUUGGAAUCACAAAAAUUAUUCAAUUUACUUUGUGCGUGUGGUGUUGCUAUUGCUGUUAUUAUUAUGUUACUAGUGACCCCUUUAGUUGAGUUCCAUAGUCUACAUGAAAUCUCUGCACUUGUGUUACCACUAUUGGGAUUGGCAGCUCCCUAAAUGAAAAUGAGAAAAACUUGCCUGGAUGAAAUGUUAUGAACUGUAUGCGUUGUGCUGCUUGCUGAAGUAACAUGACACCCACAUCACCUUCCAGAAAUAAAGUGUAUACAGGCUACCUAA
Molecule: long non-coding RNA, 896 nt
Organism: Engraulis encrasicolus (European anchovy)
Lineage: Eukaryota; Metazoa; Chordata; Actinopteri; Clupeiformes; Engraulidae
Exons: 2
Source: RefSeq, a predicted model, not a curated record